GAAAUAUUGAAAAAAUAACAACAUUUACCUAGUUAUUCGGAUCUGUGGAGAGUUUUUCGCUACACGUUACCAAAUCAAUAAUUACAUUUCUGUCAAUUUGUGUCAAAUGUGGGAAAACUGUGUCAUUAGUUGCCGGAAGCAUGUGUAAAGUCGUGGGAAGUUGUCUUCGUUGUGGCCCUGAAUGCGCGGAUGUAGGUGUUGAUGCUCUGGGAAGCAUGUGUGAUGUGGGAGGCAUUUGUGAUGGCGUGGGAAGCUGUAUUGGUGGUUGCCUCGAGUGUAUUUGUCACUGUUUAUGUCAAUCUUUAUGUUUAGCUUGUGCUGAUCCACUUACAUGGUUAUUUAAAAAUAAAUUAGUAUAACUAGAAAAUAAAUUAAAACGUUUCAGGUGAAGAUGAUGAUUGAUCAUCUUCAUCAUCAAGGAUAUUAUUAGUAAUCAUUAGGUAAACUAACAUAAUCUUUAACAGAUAUUUGUACAUUUAAUUCUCAUAUUAUAGUAUAUCAUUCCUUAGAAAUUGUAUGAAAAUACAAAUCAUUUAACUCA
Long non-coding RNA from Adelges cooleyi (spruce gall adelgid), 541 nucleotides. RefSeq lists it as uncharacterized. The record is from RefSeq and is a predicted model, not a curated record. The transcript is spliced from 4 exons. Lineage: Eukaryota; Metazoa; Arthropoda; Insecta; Hemiptera; Adelgidae.